Molecule: unclassified non-coding RNA, 889 nt
Filed under: Hevea brasiliensis (rubber tree)
Lineage: Eukaryota; Viridiplantae; Streptophyta; Magnoliopsida; Malpighiales; Euphorbiaceae
Source: RNAcentral
ACUCUACUUCCAGUUGGCAAAAGGCAUAUUAACAAAUUAUAGAUGUAAGAAGCAGUAUAUGAGGAAAAAAAAUGUUGGCUCAUUUCUGAAGAUAUCAUUUCAUCUGUAAAAUGAUUCAGCAUUUUGGUGAUGCUUGGAUACAGAAGUACAACAUGAACUGUAUCAUCCUAAUAUUUUCAGAUCACUGCCCUAAGAUAUCUGAUAUUGAUUUAUUGAUCCCUUGAAACAAUUCUUGCCUGUUGGGCUUGAAUAAGAGGUAUCUGUAUACGAACCAAGUAGAAAACAAUAUCCCGAUAAAUUCAAACACACCUGGAAUGAGAGGCAGGCUGUCGAUUGCCGCCACAAAAUUUGAAGCAGCCCAGAAACCAACAAUAGCAGCAAUUCCCAACCCAAUUACAGCAAUCCGGUCUUCAGGGUUGUCCCAAAUAUUCUUUACUGAUUUAACAACACUUGGGGAGGAUAAGGAUUCAGAACUUUCACUAGUAGCCUUUGCUGUGAUGGCCAGGUGACCUUGUCUUGCUACAGAAACAGUAACAAUUAGAAGGAAUCUGUAAAAUAUCAGUACCCCUUAUUAUAUAUGAAAAAAACAAACCAAGGAGGAGACGAGACAUAAAUUGAGCAGCAGAAAUUUCAUAACUGUCAAGGUGAUUUAUCAGAAGCCAGAAUCUGAAUAUGACUUGGCAUCUUCAACAAGCUUUCAAAGUCAAUUUUACCUGGUUUAGCAGUAUUAAUUGUUCUGUAACCGCAUAUCAAACGAACCUUCAUGAAUGUUCUAUUUACAGGUUCAUCCACCUCCAUUCCAUAGUAGCCAAAAGUCAAUAACAAAUUCAGGAUAGCCUCGCUCACAGGCUCAUUUACUUUCUAUCUAUAGUAACAAAUACGGAAUAGA